GAUGAAGAACGUAGCGAAAUGCGAUAAGUAAUGUGAAUUGCAGAAUUCCGUGAAUCAUCGAAUUUUUGAACGCACAUUGCGCCCCCUGGCAUUCCGGGGGGCAUGCCUGUCCGAGCGUCAUUUCUGCCCUCCAGCCCGGCUGGGUGUUGGGCGCUGUCCCCCCGGGGACACGCCCCAAAGGCAGUGGCGGCGCCGCGUCGGGUCCUCGAGCGUAUGGGGCUUUGUCACCCGCUCGGGACGGACUCAUCGGCGCUGGUCUUCCUCCAGGCGACCCUUCGGGGCUCGUCUUCCUUCGGUUGACCUCGGAUCAGGUAGGGUUACCCGCUGAACUUAAGCAUAUCAAUAAGCGGAGGA
This 354-nucleotide unclassified non-coding RNA is filed under the name soil metagenome. RNAcentral's name for it is "partial contains 5.8S ribosomal RNA, internal transcribed spacer 2, and large subunit ribosomal RNA". The stretch from base 1 to 120 matches the Rfam family "5.8S ribosomal RNA", at positions 35 to 154 of the family's 154-position model. The record is from RNAcentral.